RNAcentral lists this ribosomal RNA (895 nucleotides) under Zoothamnium niveum. Its description in RNAcentral is "SSU rRNA". It matches the Rfam family "Eukaryotic small subunit ribosomal RNA", at positions 1 to 948 of the family's 1831-position model. The record is from RNAcentral. Lineage: Eukaryota; Ciliophora; Oligohymenophorea; Sessilida; Zoothamnidae.
UUACCUUGGUUGAUCCUGCCAGUAGUCAUAUGCUUGUCUCAAAGAUUAAGCCAUGCAUGUGUAAGUAUAAGUAUUAUACGGCGAAACUGCGAAUGGCUCAUUAAAUCAGUUAUAAUUUAUUUGAUAAUCGAAAGUUACAUGGAUAACCGUGACAAAUUACAGCUAAUACAUGCAGUCAGACCCGGUCCAAAGGUCGUAAUUAUUAGUAUUAAACCAAUUCCUUCGGGAGUGUGAUGAAUCAUAGUAAUCGAACGAAUCGCUAAUCUUGCGAUAAAUCAUUCAAGUUUCUGCCCUAUCAGCUUUGGAUGGUAGUGUAUUGGACUACCAUGGCAGUCACGGGUAACGGAGAAUUAGGGUUCGAUUCCGGAGAGGGAGCCUGAGAAACGGCUACCACAUCUACGGAAGGCAGCAGGCGCGAAAAUUGCCCAAUCCUGACACAGGGAGGCAGUGACAAGAAAUAACAACUCUCGGUUUCCGAGAAGUGUAAUGAGGAUAAUUUACAAACCUUACCGAAAGCAAUUGGAGGGCAAGUCUGGUGCCAGCAGCCGCGGUAAUUCCAGCUCCAAUAGCGUAUAUUAAAGUUGUUGCAGUUAAAAAGCUCGUAGUUGAAAUUCUGAUUGUAUUGGGCCUCAGCACUUGAUGCGUAGGUACCAGCAGUCAUCCGCUUGCAAACAUAUGUUCUUCCUUAAACAGAAGACUAUGUGAGUAAGCAUUUUACCUUGAGAAAAACAGAGUGUUCCAGGCAGGUUUGUCCGGAAUGCAUUAGCAUGGAAUAAUAGAAUAUGACUGAAGUCUAUUUAUUGGUUUGAGACUUUAGUAAUGAUUAAUAGGAACAAUCGGGGGCAUUGGUACUUGUCAGUCAGAGUGAAUCCAGAUAGGACUAGCUUCUUAACGA